Molecule: ribosomal RNA, 443 nt
Filed under: uncultured bacterium
Lineage: Bacteria
Description: partial 16S ribosomal RNA
Rfam family: Bacterial small subunit ribosomal RNA
Source: RNAcentral
CCUACGGGUGGCUGCAGUGGGGAAUAUUGGACAAUGGGGGGAACCCUGAUCCAGCGACGCCGCGUGAGUGAAGAAGUAUUUCGGUAUGUAAAGCUCUAUCAGCAGGGAAGAAAGAAAUGACGGUACCGGACUAAGAAGCAGCGGCUAACGACGGGCCAGCAGCCGCGGUAAUACGUAGGGGGCAAGCGUUAUCCGGAUUUACUGGGUGUAAAGGGAGCGUAGACGGCGAGGCUAGUCUGAAGUGAAAGGCGGGGGCCCAACCCCUGGACUGCUUUGGAAACGGUCUGGCUGGAGUGCAGGAGAGGUAAGUGGAAUUCCUAGUGUAGCGGUGAAAUGCGUAGAUAUUAGGCGGAACCCCAGUGGCGAAGGCGGCUUACUGGACUGUAACUGACGUUGAGGCUCGAAAGCGUGGGGAGCAAACAGGAUUAGAUACCCCAGUAGUC